RNAcentral lists this long non-coding RNA (1580 nucleotides) under Sorghum bicolor (sorghum). Its description in RNAcentral is "long non-coding RNA (SBIC_LNC009761)". Lineage: Eukaryota; Viridiplantae; Streptophyta; Magnoliopsida; Poales; Poaceae. The record is from RNAcentral.
UUUGAAUUCAUUGAUCUCAUGGUUAAUUAAUGUUCCCUUUGAAUGAAACAACUAGAAUAAAAGGUACACCACUACUAUUUUACAGUAAAUUGGAAGGACUACGAUUGUUCCCAUCAACAAUCAAAACUGUUUGGUGCAAAAUCUAGAGUGGAUCACCAUCAGGGACAGAUGGAGAUCUCUGCAAAUUAAUUAAAUUAAAAGCAGGCAUUCUGUUGAGGAGGGCACGUCAGCCUCUCUCUCUCUCUCUCCCGUGACAUGGUUCGGUUGUGAAUGCGAGAUGCACCAAUUAAUGCAAAGCAGGCUCCUCGCGACCAAUCAGUAUCAAGCUGCCCGGAGACGUAUUGCAGCAUCUGUGCUGAACGUGUAGUACAUAUAUACCACAAAAAAAAAGAUCCAUCUUGCCACAAUUUUUCAGUACCAUAUAUAAAAUCCCAAAACACGUACAAAUUUUUCAGUACCACAUAUUAAACCCCAAACAUAGUUUAUAUAAAUAAGUUUGUUCUUUUUUUUCUAUGUAAAUUAAAGGAAUUAUACUGUUCUUGUCAUUCAUGCGAGGCUCGAUAUGUAACCUUCAGUUUUCGCUAAGCAGACAUCAGAAUACUCCAAAAUUUUACUUUUUCAUUCAAAACAAAAUAUGCCUGCUUGUACUUCGAAUAAUGGUGCGACAAUCAUGAUUUUUUUUUUCCCAUACUCAUGCAUGUAACACUUAUUAGGAGUAGUGCUCGUUAACAUGACAGAUCGAUAGCAGCAAAUUGUGUCAAUCGCGCUGCUAUCAAGUAGAAAACUAUGGUUUUCAUAUGCUCCACAUUCAAAUAACAACAUUGCUAAACCUGGAUGCUGUUUUGUUUCGCUUUUGGAAUGCAAAAGCAGGGGAAACCUCCUUUUCUAAAAAAACAACAUUGCUUUUUUUUUGAGGAACAACAACAUUGCAUAAUUAGGACACAAGGAUGUCUGAACAACCACAAAUAGACAUGCACACGUGUACUUUUAUUUAUUAGACUCACAAAAGCCUAUGGAUACCCUCAUGACAACAAUUAGUACUAGCUAUCACUAUCAGUUGCGAUUUUCACCAUGAUUUUAGAAAAUGAAAUAAAUUUGGUUCACAACAUUGUUUUUGAUAGAGUUAUUUUAGCUAAUUAAUCUCUCCCUCCUAAUAUAUAAGGUGUAAAACUUUUCAUUCAUGUUCCAUAUAAUAUAAGUUGUGUUCUCUCUCAUAUAUCAAUGUAACAGUACUAAUGCGCUGAAAGAGAUAAUUAAAUACGCGCUCUUGGUCUUUGAACCAGAAAUAGUUAUGCCUAGUAUAUACUAAGACAGAUGGAGUAGCUAACAAACACAAGAGGUGCCAUAGAUAAACCAGAACAAGAAGAAUCCACAGAAAAGUUCUUUUUUUUCCAAAAAUAAAACACAAGAGGCACCAAGGAAUGGCAAAAUGUUUUGAUUGGACAGGAACUGAAUGGGUACAGAAGAUUUCUGCUGCAACUCACGUGCGUGGUCACUGAAUGAAUGGUGUAGGAUCCGUCGGCAUUGAUGGUGUCAAUGCCAAGUCGUUGGUGCGCAACCAUUAAUUUGGACGGCAGGGG